GGCUGGUUCAAAGGCAGUGAAUUAUAGCAAGUGAUCGUUCACAGUCAGUUACAGAUUAAACUCCUUGCUCUCCUCUUCCCCCCUUAUCAGUACUAUACCUCACUAGUCUUUA
Molecule: unclassified non-coding RNA, 112 nt
Organism: Otolemur garnettii (small-eared galago)
Lineage: Eukaryota; Metazoa; Chordata; Mammalia; Primates; Galagidae
Rfam family: Y RNA
About the family: Y RNAs are components of the Ro ribonucleoprotein particle (Ro RNP), in association with Ro60 and La proteins. The Y RNAs and Ro60 and La proteins are well conserved, but the function of the Ro RNP is not known.
Source: Ensembl